AGCUCUGCGCAGUGGCGAUAUCUUAACCAAUGAGAUUUACUGAGGUGCGAUUAUUGCUAGUUUGAAAAAAUAGCCUAUUUAAUAGUGUAUCAUGUUUUCUACAAGGAAUUUGGAUCAGUUUUUAUCUGAUAAUUAUUUUAU
Toxorhynchites rutilus septentrionalis is the source of this 141-nucleotide small nuclear RNA. RefSeq annotates it as U4 spliceosomal RNA. Lineage: Eukaryota; Metazoa; Arthropoda; Insecta; Diptera; Culicidae. The transcript has a single exon. The record is from RefSeq and is a predicted model, not a curated record.